UUGCAGUCAUCAGUUUUUUCAGCAUAUUGUCUUCAACGACCGGUUUGCGAUGUUUAACCUGUAGAGAUGACAGAAGGUUGACGGAUUGCUUCUGGAGAGGACCAUCUACUUGUUCUGAUGGUGUAGAGAGAUGUUACCUCGAAGUGAAUGUAUUGCGGACGUUGGUCACAGUAAUUAAUGCUGGAUGUCGUUCUGUAGAGGU
Mytilus trossulus (common blue mussel) is the source of this 202-nucleotide long non-coding RNA. RefSeq lists it as uncharacterized. The record is from RefSeq and is a predicted model, not a curated record. The transcript has 3 exons. Lineage: Eukaryota; Metazoa; Mollusca; Bivalvia; Mytilida; Mytilidae.